GCCGGGCACAGUGGCCCACGCCUGGAAUCCCAGCGGCUCAGGAGGCCGAGGCAGGAGGAUCGCAAGUUGGAGGCCAGCCUCAGCCACUUAGCAAGACCCUGUCUCUA
This 107-nucleotide small RNA is filed under the name Marmota monax (woodchuck). The record is from RNAcentral. Lineage: Eukaryota; Metazoa; Chordata; Mammalia; Rodentia; Sciuridae.